Molecule: ribosomal RNA, 253 nt
Filed under: uncultured prokaryote
Description: partial 16S ribosomal RNA
Rfam family: Bacterial small subunit ribosomal RNA
Source: RNAcentral
UACGUAGGGGGCGAGCGUUGUCCGGAGUUACUGGGCGUAAAGGGCACGCAGGCGGUCUGCCAAGUUUGCCGUGACAGUCCUCGGCUUAACUGAGGAAGGCCGGUGAAAACUGGGAGACUUGAGGGCCAGAGAGGGACAUAGAAUUCCGGGUGGAGUGGUGAAAUGCGUAGAGAUCCGGAGGAACACCAAAGGCGCAGGCAGUGUCCUGGGAAGUACCUGACGCUCAGGGACGAAAGCUAGGGGAGCGAACGGG